GGCGGAGGAGGAGGACGCGGAGCUUCGCGGCGGGCUUGAGGAGGGCGACGGGGAGGUGAGGAGGGGCUUGAGGAGGAGAGAGAAAGAGGAGAGAGAAAGAGGAGGCGAGACGACGGUGGGGGUGGGCUCGGCGGCGGCGGCGGGGGAGAGGAGGAGGGGUUCGGCUUGCGGAGGCGGAGGAGGGGCUCGGCGGCGGGCUCGAAAAAAGAACGAAAAAAAAAAAAUAACGGAAGAAACGAAGAGGAGAGAGAAAGAGGAAAGAGAAAAAGUAAUAAGGGUAUUUUGGUCAGUUUACUAAAACAACGGACUGAAUCUGUAAAAACGAAAAAAGUGACCCGAUUUUGCAAAAGCCCAAAAUAAGUGGAUUUUUUAUGC
This 375-nucleotide long non-coding RNA is filed under the name Ananas comosus (pineapple). RNAcentral's name for it is "long non-coding RNA (ACOM_LNC006331)". The record is from RNAcentral. Lineage: Eukaryota; Viridiplantae; Streptophyta; Magnoliopsida; Poales; Bromeliaceae.